This 315-nucleotide ribosomal RNA is filed under the name uncultured bacterium. Its description in RNAcentral is "bacterial SSU rRNA". It matches the Rfam family "Bacterial small subunit ribosomal RNA", at positions 29 to 320 of the family's 1533-position model. The record is from RNAcentral.
AACGAACGCUGGCGGCGUGGAUAAGACAUGCAAGUCGAACGAGGUUACUCUUGGUAGCAAUACCGAGAGUGACUUAGUGGCGAACGGGUGCGUAACACGUGGGCAAUCUGCCUUAAAGUGGGGAGUAGCUCGGCGAAAGACCGAAUUAAUACCGCAUGUGAUCAGCCAAGACAUCUUGGCGACAUCAAAGACCGGGGCGAACCUGGCGCUUUUUGUAGGAGCCCGCGGCCAUCAGCUAGUUGGUGAGGUAACGGCCCGACCCAAGGCUUUGUACGGGUAGGCUGGUCUGAGAGGACGACCAGUCACACUGGAACU